Molecule: long non-coding RNA, 1940 nt
Organism: Helianthus annuus (common sunflower)
Lineage: Eukaryota; Viridiplantae; Streptophyta; Magnoliopsida; Asterales; Asteraceae
Exons: 2
Source: RefSeq, a predicted model, not a curated record
UGGAUCAGCAUGGUGUGCAAAGUACAAACAACAAGCUUCCGAAAUGUAUCCCGCUCAAAUCCGUCUCUCUGACUCAAGAAUCCCCUUCAAAUUUUUUUGAAUUCCCAAAUGUCUGAUGUUGCAGUACCUUUUUCUUGCCUGCCAGCUUUACUUUUCUAUCAUUUCAAAUUCAAACACAAAAUGAAUCUGAUAUCUCCCACCAUAAUUCUCUCCCCCUUUCUCUCUCUACAAAACCCAGUUGUCUCUACAAUCAUUCAUCAUUCUAUUCAAAUGUAGGGGGUCUCGAAGACGAUGACAGAGGGCUUGGUUGGUAGCCAUAUUGGUGUAACAAGAUGACAGUGAGGAAUUUCGGCAGAGCCAAACUUCCGGCGACCGAGACUAGGGUUCCGAUCAACUUCUGUGAGCAGUUAGGGAUUUUGGCGAGGAGAUUAGGGUUCCGGCGAAACCCUUUCACUACAUGUUGUCACCUCUGUCGACAAUGGUAUUUUGCCCGCAUCUUUUCGGUUUUACACCUUAUUUAUAUCAUUUGGUAGCUAUUUUUUAUGUUAUUGAACUAAUUGAAGACCUGCAACGGUGAAAGUUCUUAGACUGGAUGGUCUGUAUAUGAUUUACGGAUCUUUGUGGAAUGCAGGAGAUGGGGGUUGUCACCAGGUACAUUCCACAUUUGGGCUUUAGUCUAUAUAACCUUCAUUUACUUAUUUAUUUACUUAUUAUUAUUUUGGAGAGGAUAAAAAGGAUCUAUUGCUGAUGCAUUUGUGAGUUUUAAGGCACUUAUAUAAUGCAGAAGUUCUAAGGCGCGUAUUAGCAGCAUAAAGGAAUCUAUUGCUGAUGCAUUUGUGAGUUUUUUUUGUUGCUAAAUUUCAAACAUUUCAAUCAUAUUGAUUCAUAUGGCUCAAAGUUUAACCAGAUUUAGCUAAAUGUUGAGGAGAUGAGUUGCAUAUAUGUUUGUGAAUUUUUUAGUUAAAUGUCUAAAACUGAAACAGUUAAUGAAAGAAUUAUCUUUUGUGUAUUUUAUAAAGAAGGGCUGUUCUAAAUACUAAUUAUGUUAUCUAUAAUAAUUAAUAUGAACAAAGAACAAUAUGUUUGGAGGUCCACCCUACCCAAACCAUUUGAACCCCUUAACUUUUACUCUUUUGAUCCUUUUGCACGGAGGGAAAAUCCUUACAGGUGGUACAGUUAUAAAGUCCGAAGAAAACUUCGUACAACCCUCAUUAAUUGAGUUCUCACCGAGUGCCAACGUUGUGAAAGAACUUGGUCCUAUCCUAUAUGUGCUGAAACUCACAAACCUAUAUAUGCUGAAACUUAGUCAGUUAUGAAACUCAUAGCCAGUCAAUAAUGGAAUCCGAUCUCUACCGGGGUUAACCUGGUGGGGUCUUUUAUUCCGAUAGCUGGUUUUCUUAUUUGUAAUUUUGUUUCUUUGUACUUUGGGAGUCUAGCUAUUGGCCAAGCUCUUCGUUUCUAAUGAUAAUUUGCUUUGACUGUUCUAAAAAAAUACACAUUCGAUAAUGUGUGCCCAAACAAAUUAAUAUGAACCAAUUGGGAUUUGUUUUUUCUCCUUUGAAUUUAUGCUUAAAGUCUGCUUUUUGUGUGUAGAAGCUUCACAAACUAGGCUAGCUAAACAAAUCAUGUGAGUUGGGCUUAACUUGUGGGAUUGUCCCAAAUAUGAUUUAAUAUCACUUUUACAUGUGAUUACUCUCUCUCAUAGAUUUCAUGGCUGGAAGACAUCGAUCGAUAGAGUGCUGAGAAACAUUAUUUCUUCUCUGCUCAACUGGAUUUCUCGUAGGACCAAUCAUAUGGAAACUUGCUGGAACUCUUGGUCCUCGAAUCUCCUUUGUAACUUGUAAUAUGCCAUAGUUGUUCUUUGUUUUGUUCGUUUGUAUCCAACAGCUCUUUGCUGGAGGCGUUUCUUUCGCCUUGUUUUAAUGAUAUCCCCCCCCCCC